RNAcentral lists this ribosomal RNA (270 nucleotides) under uncultured bacterium. Its description in RNAcentral is "partial 16S ribosomal RNA". It matches the Rfam family "Bacterial small subunit ribosomal RNA", at positions 57 to 305 of the family's 1533-position model. The record is from RNAcentral.
GCAAGUCGAACGGUAACAGGCUGUAUGGAAUCCCUUCGGGGUGAACUUGGCGCUGACGAGUGGCGAACGGGUGAGUAACACGUAGGAAUCUACCCAGAAGUGGGGGACAACCCGGAGAAAUCCGGGCUAAUACCGCAUACGCCCUACGGGGUAAAGCGGGGGACCUUUUCGAAGGCCUCGCGCUUCUGGAUGAGCCUGCGUCGGAUUAGCUUGUUGGUGAGGUAAUGGCUCACCAAGGCAACGAUCCGUAGCUGGUCUGAGAGGAUGGCC